GGCGUGUGUGCCGUGUCGUGUUUGUCAUCCUUCCAGAGAGCUGCGUCUACCAUUCACUUGGCCGGACGUACGCGAUCUGGAUCGAUUACUUUGAAAAAAUUAGAGUGUUUAAAGCAGGCUUACGCUGUGAAUACAUUAGCAUGGAAUAAUAAUUUAGGACUUCGGUUCUAUUUUGUUGGUUUCUAGGACUGAAGUAAUGAUUGAUAGGGACAGUUGGGGGUGCUAGUAUUCCGCGGCCAGAGGUGAAAUUCUUGGAUUCGCGGAAGACUAACUACUGCGAAAGCAUUCACCAAGGAUGUCUUCUUUAAUCAAGAACGAAAGUUGGGGGAUCGAAGACGAUCAGAUACCGUCGUAGUCUCAACCAUAAACUAUACCGACUAAGGAUCAGUGAACGUUGAUUUACGACUUCAUUGGCACUUUGUGAGAAAUCAAAGUCUUUGGGUUCCGGGGGGAGUAUGGUCGCAAGGCUGAAACUUAAAGGAAUUGACGGAAGGACACCACCAGGAGUGGAACCUGCGGCUUAAUUUGACUCAACACGGGAAAACUUACCAGGUCCAGACACAGGAAGGAUUGACAGAUUGAAGCUCUUUCUUGAUUCUGUGGGGAGUGGUGCAUGGCCGUUCUUAGUUGGUGGAUUGAUCUGUCUGGUUUAUUCCGAUAACGAACGAGACCUUAGUCUGCUAAAUAGUGUUGCGAACCACCUAACGGGUGAAUCCAGGGAGGUACUGGGGCUUCG
Molecule: ribosomal RNA, 736 nt
Filed under: uncultured eukaryote
Lineage: Eukaryota
Description: bacterial SSU rRNA
Rfam family: Eukaryotic small subunit ribosomal RNA
Source: RNAcentral